Non-coding RNA from Paramormyrops kingsleyae, 1503 nucleotides. The record is from RefSeq and is a predicted model, not a curated record. Lineage: Eukaryota; Metazoa; Chordata; Actinopteri; Osteoglossiformes; Mormyridae.
CAGACGGGAUUCAGGUUAGACAGGUUAUGGAUGGUUACUUGCUGACAUUUCUCCACCGACCUGAUCAUUCCGAUAAUUAGCUGAGAGGCGUGAGGAGCCGUAGGAAUGACACGGCAGCCCAGUGCUCCGCGUGGGACCGCAGGCCUGGCACACGCCAAGCCCCGCCCCCCCCUGGCCAAGCCGCACCCCUCUCCAGGCCCCGCCCACGCUGAUCCGCGUGAGCUCCGCUGGCUCAGAUGCCAAGCAGCUGCAUGGGAAAAUAGCAACGCUAAGGGGUGGCGAAACCUCGGCGGGGGAUUAAAUGCGAUUAAACGCGACGCCCGUAUGGUCCUUCUGCAGUGCCUCCGGCGAGCGGGAGCCCGUCCCAGUGGCCUCGGCUGUCAGGCAGGCGUGCCAGGAUCCUCCCCCGUCCAGCUGGACCCCGGGCUGUCACAGAGGAACACAAACCCACACAAAAAAGGGACACUUAAACCCCACACAGAGAGUGUACAAAACAAGCACUUAGGAGCAAGUCAGGCGCGAGAAUGAAGACGCUUCCUGGUGACUCGGUUUAUUCCGUGAGGAGGGUCUCACAUCUUUGGUUGCUGUGCUUCAUCUCCGCGCACAAGACGGCAGGCCUUUCGAGGAUCCCCGAGGCAGACGGCGGGAUCAAGUGACUCCGACAAGAUGCAGGAAGAUCCCAUGACACCCGAUGACAGAUUUCCCUGGAAAACGGGGAAAGAGGGGACAUUGUCUCUAGCUAUGACUGUUUGUUCCUGCGCUGGUGGAGAUGUGACAGCACCCAGUCUUGUCUCAUGUCUGGAGACACAGCUUCUAACAGUACCAUACAGAUGGGCACAGGAGCUUCGAAGCGACACGCAAAAUUCCACCCCAGCAACAUAUAAACAAACCUUGUUUUUCUUUCCUGCAAUAGCAAAUCUUAUCCGAUUUUAGACAUGUAAUUUUCCAGUGGAUUGUGCUUGACUCAUUUCACCUUAGGCAAAUGGCUUUUCAAAACUAGCAAGUAAAAUCACAGCUAAUGCAAUAUUUUCACAAAAUGAUGAUUUUGAAUCUGUUGACAUUUUCAGAAUAUUUUAAAAUCUACGGGGAGAUCCUAUGUUGCCUGGGACACGGGCGAGUCGAUCUGUAACAUAUCAGAAACACGUGAAGCAAAUUACAGAAAUACUUCAGAUUCUAACUAUUGAACUGCAGAACACACAUCUGACACGUCAUGUUAGAGGAGCCAUUUUUACAGGGAGACGGCAUCACUCUAUAUUCUAAAACGUCCUUCUGUCUUCACAGUCAGAGUUCACUCUGUGCUUUUCAAUAGACAUUUUCAGCGCAUAUUUAUACUAGUCAUGUUUUAAACAAGUACAGCCACCUAAAGUCAUCCAGGCCAAUCGCAUGCAACACUACACAGCAUUUUAUUUAUGAAAUCAGCAAUGUUUCUGACUACUGUGACUAAUGUAACUACUGCUUUUAUGUGACACUGGAGAGGAUGCACCUAUAACAUUUCAUUGCUGU